CGAGCCUUGUAUGCGCGUCUGUGCGCACUGGUAACAGCGCUGCGUGCGAUACCGAAUUAAAUCCUCUUUUGCCUCUUCUAACGCUGGAAUGGUUUUAUAUCUAUUCAAUGUGUAAACUAGCAAGACAAAACACGUGCAAAUGAUAACAUUUCACUCUACUGCGGUGAAACUUGAUCCGUGAAGCAAAUGCGUCCCGAACCGUGGGGCUUGGUCUUUAUACCACUCACAACCAAACUUCCUUAGUUUUGAUUUGACUGUAUUUAGCUUUUCAUCAGAGCCCUUAAAACUGAAGCUCAUCAGCACAACAUCAGCACGGAUAUAAGAGCUAGGUCGAUGUUUCCUCUUUUCUGCUCAUCACAAGAUUCAGAUGGAGAAGAGAAAGAAAAUCACACAUCCAGAAAACUGCUGGAGCCUCAGAAAUCACAGAGCAGCAGAAAACAAGAAGACAGAGAGAGAAAUGGAGACACAAACCAGUGAAUCACAAGAGAAAAGAGGAGAGAGACUUGAGAGAUGUAGCAGUAUGGAGGGAAUAAUGCCAACCUUCUCAGAUGAUCCAGAUGAUCCUGUAAAGAUUGAUUCUGAUGUCAAAACUGAGGAGAGAUUCUCUCAUCAAAACCCUUCAUCAUCCAGAACAUCAUCAUCUUCAUCAUCAUCACUACCACCACCACCAUCAUCAUCAUCAUCAUCAUCAUCAUUAUAAUUAUAAUCAUCACAUCUUCAUCCAUCUCCUGGAUUCUGCAAGCUUUUAUAGACUUAACCAGACUGAGGGACCAUUUCACGACACUGUUUUCAACACUUUUUUAAAACGUUUUGACUGUUCGUUUACUUGGCAACAGCAUUUUCAACGCUAAAACUUUUGAAAACAGGUUUUUGAAAAGGAUACCAUUAUCAUUUCUGUGUAAACUACAAAAACAUGAAUUUGUGAAUCAAUUCAAUAAAGGAUGUUUUACAUAUUUGAA
Megalobrama amblycephala (Wuchang bream) is the source of this 959-nucleotide long non-coding RNA. RefSeq lists it as uncharacterized. The record is from RefSeq and is a predicted model, not a curated record. The transcript has 3 exons. NCBI's taxonomy places the organism in Eukaryota, Metazoa, Chordata, Actinopteri, Cypriniformes, Xenocyprididae.